Molecule: ribosomal RNA, 406 nt
Filed under: uncultured bacterium
Lineage: Bacteria
Description: bacterial SSU rRNA
Rfam family: Bacterial small subunit ribosomal RNA
Source: RNAcentral
UGGGGAAUAUUGGGCAAUGGGCGCAAGCCUGACCCAGCAACGCCGCGUGAGGGAAGAAGGCCUUCGGGUUGUAAACCUCUGUCCCAGGGGACGAAAAAAAUGACGGUACCCUGGGAGGAAGCUCCGGCUAACUACGUGCCAGCAGCCGCGGUAAUACGUAGGGAGCGAGCGUUGUCCGGAAUUACUGGGCGUAAAGGGUGCGUAGGCGGCAAGGCAAGUCAGAUGUGAAAUCCCCGGGCUUAACUCGGGAUCUGCAUUUGAAACUGCUUUGCUUGAGUGCAGGAGAGGAAAGCGGAAUUCCUAGUGUAGCGGUGAAAUGCGUAGAUAUUAGGAGGAACACCAGUGGCGAAGGCGGCUUUCUGGACUGUAACUGACGCUGAGGCACGAAAGCGUGGGGAGCAAACAG